CCUACGGGAGGCAGCAGUGAGGAAUAUUGGUCAAUGGACGGAAGUCUGAACCAGCCAUGCCGCGUGCAGGAAGACGGCUCUAUGAGUUGUAAACUGCUUUUGUACAAGGGUAAACCUGAAUACGUGUAUUCAGCUGAAAGUACUGUACGAAUAAGGAUCGGCUAACUCCGUGCCAGCAGCCGCGGUAAUACGGAGGAUCCAAGCGUUAUCCGGAUUUCUUGGGUUUAAAGGGUGCGUAGGCGGAUGGAUAAGUUCGCGGUGAAAGGUCCGGGCGUAACUCGGGAACUGCCUCUAAUACUGUUGAGCUAGAGAGUGGAUGCGGUAGGCGGAAUGUAUGGUGUAGCGGUGAGAUGCUUAGAGAUCAUACAGAACGCCGAUUGCGAAGGCAGCUUACCAAGCUAUAUCUGACGUUGAGGCACGAAAGCGUGGGGAGCAAACAGGAUUAGAGACCCGGGUAGUG
This 460-nucleotide ribosomal RNA is filed under the name uncultured bacterium. Its description in RNAcentral is "partial 16S ribosomal RNA". It matches the Rfam family "Bacterial small subunit ribosomal RNA", at positions 338 to 795 of the family's 1533-position model. The record is from RNAcentral.